UGUUUCGGCUAGGGGGCCAUCCCGGCUUACCAACCCGAUGCAAACUGCGAAUACCGGAGAAUGUUAUCACGGGAGACACACGGCGGGUGCUAACGUCCGUCGUGAAGAGGGAAACAACCCAGACCGCCAGCUAAGGUCCCAAAGUCAUGGUUAAGUGGGAAACGAUGUGGGAAGGCCCAGACAGCCAGGAUGUUGGCUUAGAAGCAGCCAUCAUUUAAAGAAAGCGUAAUAGCUCACUGGUCGAGUCGGCCUGCGCGGAAGAUGUAACGGGGCUAAACCAUGCACCGAAGCUGCGGCAGCGACGCUGAUGCGUUGUUGGGUAGGGGAGCGUUCUGUAAGCCUGUGAAGGUGGCCUGUGAGGGUUGCUGGAGGUAUCAGAAGUGCGAAUGCUGACAUAAGUAACGAUAAAGCGGGUGAAAAGCCCGCUCGCCGGAAGACCAAGGGUUCCUGUCCAACGUUAAUCGGGGCAGGGUGAGUCGACCCCUAAGGCGAGGCCGAAAGGCGUAGUCGAUGGGAAACGGGUUAAUAUUCCCGUAC
This 537-nucleotide ribosomal RNA is filed under the name Salmonella enterica. RNAcentral's name for it is "partial 23S ribosomal RNA". It matches the Rfam family "Bacterial large subunit ribosomal RNA", at positions 911 to 1444 of the family's 2925-position model. Lineage: Bacteria; Pseudomonadati; Pseudomonadota; Gammaproteobacteria; Enterobacterales; Enterobacteriaceae. The record is from RNAcentral.